GAUGAACGCUAGCGAUAGGCUUAACACAUGCAAGUCGAGGGGCAGCAUGAACAAAGCUUGCUUUGUUUGAUGGCGACCGGCGCACGGGUGCGUAACGCGUGAGCAACUUGCCCGUUUCAGGGGGAUAACCGGUGGAAACGCCGACUAAUACCCCAUGGCAUCAUAUUAAGGCAUCUCCUGAAGUUGAAAGUUCCGGCGGUUUGAGAUGGACAUGCGUUGAUUAGCUAGAUGGUGAGGUAACGGCUCACCAUGGCGACGAUACAUAGGGGGACUGAGAGGUUAACCCCCCANACUGGUACUGAGACACGGACCAGGACUCCUACGGGAGGCAGCAGUGAGGAAUAUUGGUCAAUGGACGCAAGUC
This 364-nucleotide ribosomal RNA is filed under the name uncultured bacterium. RNAcentral describes it as "bacterial SSU rRNA". It matches the Rfam family "Bacterial small subunit ribosomal RNA", at positions 28 to 383 of the family's 1533-position model. The record is from RNAcentral.